RNAcentral lists this transfer RNA (75 nucleotides) under Candidatus Caldarchaeum subterraneum. RNAcentral describes it as "Candidatus Caldiarchaeum subterraneum (hot springs metagenome) tRNA-Gly". It matches the Rfam family "tRNA". Rfam says of the family: Transfer RNA (tRNA) molecules are approximately 80 nucleotides in length. RNAcentral also lists the same sequence under 1 other name. Lineage: Archaea; Thermoproteati; Nitrososphaerota; Candidatus Caldarchaeales; Candidatus Caldarchaeaceae. The record is from RNAcentral.
GCGGCGGUAGUCUAGCCUGGUCAGGACGUCGGCCUUCCACGCCGAAGGUCGCGGGAUCGAAGCCCGCCCGCCGCA